Molecule: transfer RNA, 70 nt
Filed under: Ctenophorus chapmani (Bight heath dragon)
Lineage: Eukaryota; Metazoa; Chordata; Lepidosauria; Squamata; Agamidae
Description: tRNA-Ile
Source: RNAcentral
GGAAGCGGGAAUUUGUUUGGUUCCAUGUUUACUUUAUCAAAGUAGCCCUUGUGGUUUCAGGCACACUUCC